CUGCUGGCCAGCACAGGCACCCUGUGAGGACAGUGGCAGCAGGGCAUCAGCACAGCACACCGGUCUUCCCCUGCCUUCUCCUUAAAAUGCUCAUGAAGCUGUUGUAAAAAACAAGCCAGAGACUCCAAUGCUCUUGCCUUUGGGUAGUUUUCCAUCAGGGCAUUUGCCUCCGGGUGUCAGGGACACCAUCUCGCUGCCGCACACCACCCCACUCCCAUUGCAGAGCCCACAGAAAUAAGGGACUGAGAUUGUUCUCAAUCAGUUUAAGCCACCCUCGCUUCCUGGUGAGGGAAGGAAAGGCUCAAAAGGCUUUGCAGCAUGCUCAGGUGUUAACUGCUUUCCUCCUAGGAAAUUUGUAUCUUGGCUUUUCCACUUUACAGCAGGGAAAAUGGAAGGUGCCAGAGGAGGGUGCUGGCUGGGGUGGAAACACCUGGGCUCUACCAGAUGCUUGAGUUUGAGUCACCUUGCAAGAAGCCUUAAGGCAAGAUGAGACAUUCAUCUUUGUCUCUGCUGCCCUUGCUCUGCUGGGGGAGUCACUGCCUGCAGGCGUGCGGAGAACACUGGGUCAAGCAGCACUUGGGUGUCUUCUAGAGCUGGACCUGCAGCAGUUCAUCAGUCACUUCCCUUUUGGAAAUCAAUAGGCAUGUGUAGUACAAGUGCUUCUGACCCCUGAGAGUUUAUCCAUUAAAGUCAUGCACAGAUAGAAAGAAAAAACCAAACAAAAGAUAAACCUACAAAGUGGCCACAGAGUGUCUGAUGCCUCCCAGCACUGAGAGCAGCCCUGCUGCAGAGGCUGUGCUCGAGCCUCAGGUGUACCUUCAAGUGCUGCAAUGUUGCUGGGGUGCAGCAGCUUUUUAUAUUUAAAUUAAUGGCUGUCAUAAGUACAUGGAAGGCUUUUGGGAGCUUGAAUGGGAGGUGUCUAUAUAGGGUAUGUCUGUGUGAAGACGGGAAUAGAAGCAACCACAACCCUUCUGCCAAAAGUGAUGGGGCUGAAGAACAGGAU
This is a long non-coding RNA of Pezoporus occidentalis (night parrot), 1003 nucleotides long. RefSeq lists it as uncharacterized. The transcript has 2 exons. The record is from RefSeq and is a predicted model, not a curated record. Lineage: Eukaryota; Metazoa; Chordata; Aves; Psittaciformes; Psittacidae.